RNAcentral lists this ribosomal RNA (253 nucleotides) under uncultured bacterium. Its description in RNAcentral is "partial 16S ribosomal RNA". It matches the Rfam family "Bacterial small subunit ribosomal RNA", at positions 524 to 776 of the family's 1533-position model. The record is from RNAcentral.
GACGUAGGGUGCGAGCGUUGUCCGGAUUUAUUGGGCGUAAAGAGCUCGUAGGCGGCUCGUCGCGUCGACCGUGAAAACCCGCGGCUUAACUGCGGGCUUGCGGUUGAUACGGGCAGGCUAGAGUUCGGUAGGGGAGUCUGGAAUUCCUGGUGUAGCGGUGAAAUGCGCAGAUAUCAGGAGGAACACCGGUGGCGAAGGCGGGACUCUGGGCCGAUACUGACGCUGAGGAGCGAAAGCGUGGGGAGCGAACAGG